This 253-nucleotide ribosomal RNA is filed under the name uncultured bacterium. RNAcentral's name for it is "partial 16S ribosomal RNA". It matches the Rfam family "Bacterial small subunit ribosomal RNA", at positions 524 to 776 of the family's 1533-position model. The record is from RNAcentral.
GACGAAGGGGGCUAGCGUUGUUCGGAAUUACUGGGCGUAAAGGGCGCGUAGGCGGUCUUGUUAGUCAGGCGUGAAAGCCCUGGGCUCAACCUGGGAGGUGCGCUUGAUACUGCGAGGCUUGAGUGCAGGAGAGGAUGGUGGAAUUCCCAGUGUAGAGGUGAAAUUCGUAGAUAUUGGGAAGAACACCGGUGGCGAAGGCGGCCAUCUGGACUGCAACUGACGCUGAGGCGCGAAAGCGUGGGGAGCAAACAGG